This 252-nucleotide ribosomal RNA is filed under the name uncultured bacterium. Its description in RNAcentral is "partial 16S ribosomal RNA". It matches the Rfam family "Bacterial small subunit ribosomal RNA", at positions 524 to 776 of the family's 1533-position model. The record is from RNAcentral.
UACGGAGGAUGCGAGCGUUAUCCGGAUUUAUUGGGCUUAAAGGGUGCGUAGGCGGAUCGUUAAGUCAGUGGUCAAAUUGAGGGGCUCAACCCCUUCCCGCCAUUGAAACUGGCGAUCUUGAGUGGAAGAGAAGUAUGCGGAAUGCGUGGUGUAGCGGUGAAAUGCAUAGAUAUCACGCAGAACCCCGAUUGCGAAGGCAGCAUGCCGGCUUCCGACUGACGCUGAAGCACGAAAGCGUGGGGAUCGAACAGG